UGAUUAUGGGGCUCAGAAUAGGCCAUAGAUAGCGCUGUCACGCUGUGGUACUGGCUGUGAAUCUUUGGGAAAGUCUGGCUUACACCCAUAUUUGCAUUAAGAAAGGCGUUGAUCGUCUGUCAGCACUGACAAAAUCGAUACUUUACUACUAAGUGUGGCCAUAUUGACUUAAAGGCAAGCAGCCUACACUGGAAACUGCAAUAGCUGGAGUGAUUGGGCUCAUCAGAGCAGAUUCUCAUUAUUUAGACAUGCUUGUCAUACAGUUUCUUAUGCUGCAUUGUUCUGUUGUCUUAUUGGGCCCCUGCAUGUACACAUGUAAUUAUCGGUGUUAAAAGCAUGUUACUAAGGUUGUUAUUGAACAUGACAUGAUGACCAAUGUGAGAAUAAUCGUGGCAGAGAAAAUACUGUGGCAGCAGCAAAUCAGUCAGUGCUUGUGUGUGUUUGUGUAUGUGACAUAUCCAGGUCAGUCAUACUGGGUGCCUUAUCUGUCUGUUACCUGUUGGCCACCUUAAAGCACUUACCCCAGCUUGGCCUGUCUGCAGCACUGAUAGCCCUUGCUUGCCACAAAGCUUUUCACAAAGUGACUUUGCGGUGCCUGCAUGAGAAUGAAUGAAACUACCAGUAACAAGGAAACUUACCGUGAUGAAAGGGAGCAUGCUCAACUGCAGCUUUCACUGGUGAGGUGUGGGAGGAAGGGAGAGGGAGGAGAGGUGAAGGUAGAACCUGCAAAACUGCUUUGUCACAGUGGUACAACAAUGGAAUCCUUUAGAUAGGGGAGGCUUGCCUAUAGUCAUAUAGUUCACUCCCAACGCCAACCGCCACAGAGGAGGCUAAUGAACUGCAAGUAGAUGUCUGACUCAUGGCGGGAUACUUGUAAGCACUACUAAACACAAACUAUCCCAUCAGCUAAAUAUCAGCACAGCUGAGAGCGUGAAGACUUAAUUUAACCAAGGAGAAAAACUAAACAAUGAAUCGAUUAACAAAGCAGAUGAUGAUUAAACGCCUUUCAGACAAAAAGCGAUCAUUUAACUUGUCUUUCCACUCUUACACUGACCCAUGUUACACUGACCUACUUUGAUUGGACACGUUUGUAAUGUAUUGCCUUGCUUAUCACCAGGAUGCUGCAAAAGCAAAGCAA
Molecule: long non-coding RNA, 1138 nt
Organism: Oreochromis niloticus (Nile tilapia)
Lineage: Eukaryota; Metazoa; Chordata; Actinopteri; Cichliformes; Cichlidae
Exons: 2
Source: RefSeq, a predicted model, not a curated record